ACGCUCACAGCCUGAUGGAGCAACACCGCGUGAGUGAAGAAGGGUUUCGGCUCGUAAAGCUCUGUUGUUGGAGAAGAACGUGCGUGAGAGUAACUGUUCACGCAGUGACGGUAUCCAACCAGAAAGUCACGGCUAACUACGUGCCAGUAGCCGCGGUAAUACUGAGCGGGCGUGGCGAAGGACG
Molecule: ribosomal RNA, 184 nt
Filed under: uncultured bacterium
Lineage: Bacteria
Description: partial 16S ribosomal RNA
Rfam family: Bacterial small subunit ribosomal RNA
Source: RNAcentral